GAAGAUUGAAGUUUUUCACACUAUAAAGUGAUCAUGAAUAUUUAUAUUUUGACAUACAAACAAAUAAAUAAUAUGGGUGAUAUUAUCAAGGUUGUUUUUGCUAUGAUUAUUUAUCUUUACAUGCUCACCAUCGUAACCAACGCGGUUACUAUAUGUGAUUCUGAUCAAGAUUGUCGCAGAUAUCGUUGUGACCCUCCUGAAUAUCCAAGAUGCCUAGGGAUACUUUGUAAAUGUGUCUAUGUUAGCGGUUAAGUUCAAAAUUGCUUGUUUGGUAUUUCUAAAAACGAAUAAUUGUAUAAUUACAUUCAUUCGCUCUUAGAAGUUAUCGAGAAUAAUUUAGCACACAAUUAAAACUGUCCGCUUUAAUAAGUAAAACAUAAAACAAUGUUAGUUAAUAAAGCCAAUAAUUUUUUUAUUUAUGAGUCAUAUUAUAAGAAAGCCACCAAUAGUAAACAAGGUUAUUAUUGUAAAAGUGUCAUGUCUUAUAACAAAACUAUUACAUUUCAUAAAUUCUUGUAAUUCUAUUAUUUUAUAUUUAUUUAGAAUAAUUAGUUAA
This is a long non-coding RNA of Medicago truncatula (barrel medic), 556 nucleotides long. RefSeq lists it as uncharacterized. NCBI's taxonomy places the organism in Eukaryota, Viridiplantae, Streptophyta, Magnoliopsida, Fabales, Fabaceae. The transcript is spliced from 2 exons. The record is from RefSeq and is a predicted model, not a curated record.